CUCUAUUUUCUUUUACCUACCUGAUAUCUUUCCACUGGUUUCUGCUGAAAAGACCACACCUGCAGCACAUUCACGCAGAUGCUUUCUUAUUAAUCAACCCCGACGUUUUCUCAGAACUGCAGCCACGUCCCAGACUGCCCUGCUGACAUCUCCCAGAAGGUGCUGUAACCCUUCGCAGGGCAAAGGGACUGAAGGCCUUCUUGGGAUGGCUGUGAUUCUGGAGCUAGGGUGGGUUGUUUCCCAAUCAGGAGGUCGGUGGAUUGAUUCCCCAGCUACUGCAGUCUGCAAGUAUAACAUGAAAGUCAGGAUGCUGACACCAAGCCUGUAGACAUGUGUGCAUCCGUCCACGGAUAUUCCUCCCCACCACUGACCCACCACUGAACCGGACAUGCUGAAUGAUGUCGUCCACGGCUCCUCCAGACCCUUUCACAUGUGUCAGUCAGGCUCCACGGUCCCGGGCAGUGAGCACUGGGCCUGUUAGAGGACGUUGGGCCCUCAGGCCACGCUUGUGAAGUCUGUUUCUCAUUGUUGGUCAGAGACAUUCACAUCAGUGGCUGUCACACCAGAGGUCACUUUGUCGGGCUGUGGCAGUCCUCAUCAUGUUCCUUCUUGCACAAAGGGGCAGAUUCCUGUAAUGCUGAUGGCAUAAAAGCCUUCUAGGGCCAUGUCCAGCUCUCCUAGAGUACCUGCUUUUCUCCUGGAAUCUCCUCCAUAGUCUUGAGACUGUGCUGGAAGACACAGCAGAACUUCUGUCGAAUGGCACGUAUUGAUGUGCCAUCCUGGAGGAGUUGGACUACUUGUGCUUCUAUAGGUAUCACUUUGCGGGGGGGUCAGCAGCCUCCACCUAUAACAUCAUUCCUUGGCGAUUGAUCACUAUUGUACCUCUAGUGCACCUGUUGUUCAUUCCAUUAACAUCAAAGCAGCGGAAACUGAUUAACAACCCCUGUGCUACUUAACUGACCAGAUCAAUAUGAAUGCUAUACUCUGAUUAGAAUUAGAACCACGAUGAUACUGUAAAGUGUGCUAAAUGAAUACUGAAGGACUUCAGUUGUGACACAGGGACUGGAGGAAGGAGACAGCUGUUCGCUCGGCUCAGUCAAAAGUGAAAAAUAA
Long non-coding RNA from Oreochromis niloticus (Nile tilapia), 1113 nucleotides. RefSeq lists it as uncharacterized. NCBI's taxonomy places the organism in Eukaryota, Metazoa, Chordata, Actinopteri, Cichliformes, Cichlidae. The record is from RefSeq and is a predicted model, not a curated record. The transcript has 3 exons.